This is a non-coding RNA of Mycena leptocephala, 93 nucleotides long. Lineage: Eukaryota; Fungi; Basidiomycota; Agaricomycetes; Agaricales; Mycenaceae. The record is from the annotation of a GenBank genome assembly.
GCUGCUGUGGCUCAACGUAGAGCGUCCUCUCAAUCUGGAUGGUGAUCCCUGACUCUUGUGAGGAAAGUGUGGGUUCGAAUCCCACCAGCAGCA